RNAcentral lists this unclassified non-coding RNA (412 nucleotides) under Hevea brasiliensis (rubber tree). The record is from RNAcentral. Lineage: Eukaryota; Viridiplantae; Streptophyta; Magnoliopsida; Malpighiales; Euphorbiaceae.
AAAAAGAAAAAAAAAAAAAAACUGAUAAAAUUGAUUAACUAAUGUCAAUGAUUUGGAUCAAGAAAAUGUGUCACUGUUUGGUUAAUGGAACCGUGCACACUCCUAGCUCUGCUUGUCUAAAUUUGUCUCCUUUUCUCUUUGGCAUGGUAGAUUGUAGCUUUAUUUCUUUACAGUGGAAUUUGAUUUAUUUACUAUUUUCAUGUUUGAGGCUAGAGUUUGUGCAACCCUAUUUCUGUUAAAGAUUGAGUAUUGGUUUCUGUCAGUAGAAAGCCCUAAUUCAGGGGUUUCCACCUCUUAACAGAAGAAGAAAUACAGAAUUAGGCAGAAAGAGAAAGAGAUACAGUAGAGAAGAGAGAAUUUAGAGAGAAGAAAAAGAUCAAUUUCCUUAUUAGAUUCAGAAUGAUCAUCUACA